RNAcentral lists this ribosomal RNA (460 nucleotides) under uncultured bacterium. RNAcentral describes it as "partial 16S ribosomal RNA". It matches the Rfam family "Bacterial small subunit ribosomal RNA", at positions 338 to 795 of the family's 1533-position model. The record is from RNAcentral.
CCUACGGGUGGCAGCAGUGAGGAAUAUUGGUCAAUGGUCGCGAGCCUGAACCAGCCAAGUCGCGUGAGGGAGGACGGCACUACGUGUUGUAAACCUCUUUUGUCAGGGAACAAAGUGUGGCACGUGUGCCCGGUUGAGUGUACCUGAAGAAAAAGCAUCGGCUAACUCCGUGCCAGCAGCCGCGGUAAUACGGAGGAUGCGAGCGUUAUCCGGAUUUAAUGGGUUUAAAGGGUGCGUAGGCGGGCUGUUAAGUCAGGUGUGAAAUCCUGGGGCUUAACCAUAGACCUGCAGUUGAAACUGGCAGUCUAGAGUAGGAGAGAGGUAGGCGGAAUGCGUGGUGUAGCGGUGAAAUGCGUAGAUAUCACGAAGAACUCCGAUUGCGAAGGCAGCAUGCUAGAUCAACACUGACGCUGAGGCACGAAAGCGUGGGUAUCGAACAGGAUUAGAUACCCGUGUAGUC